UGGUAUGAAAAACACUCCCUCUAGAAGUUCCAUAGGAAAAUCUCAUGUUGGUCCUGCUAGAUCAUGGAGUAAAGUUGUUACUCCUACUAGGAAGAGGAAAAAUGUCUCUUCUAGUGAUUCCGAGUUUGAGGUCGAAAAGGAUGUCCAGGACAUCACGCCUGUGAAAAGAUCUGCUACCAAGAAGCCUCAUGUUGUUGUGGUCGAGGCUCCACUGGAUAAUGUGUCGU
This 227-nucleotide long non-coding RNA is filed under the name Lathyrus oleraceus (garden pea). Its description in RNAcentral is "Pisum sativum (pea) long non-coding RNA (PSAT_LNC004085)". The record is from RNAcentral. Lineage: Eukaryota; Viridiplantae; Streptophyta; Magnoliopsida; Fabales; Fabaceae.